UGUUGCCAUGGUUGGUUUGGAUCAGUUUAUUACCAAGAAUGCAACAUUGACCAAUGAAAAGGAAGUCGAUGCUCACCCUAUCAGAGCAAUGAAGUUUUCUGUCUCACCAGUUGUGCGUGUAGCUGUUCAGUGCAAGGUCGCAUCUGACCUUCCCAAGCUUGUCGAAGGGUUGAAACGUCUGGCUAAGUCUGAUCCUAUGGUUGUUUGUUCUAUUGAAGAGUCUGGAGAGCAUAUUAUUGCUGGUGCUGGAGAACUCCACCUUGAGAUCUGUCUGAAGGAUUUGCAGGAUGACUUUAUGGGCGGUGCUGAAAUUAUAAAAUCUGAUCCCGUUGUGUCCUUCCGUGAGACGGUCCUCGAGAAGUCUACUCGAACUGUGAUGAGCAAGUCCCCUAACAAG
RNAcentral lists this unclassified non-coding RNA (397 nucleotides) under Hevea brasiliensis (rubber tree). The record is from RNAcentral. Lineage: Eukaryota; Viridiplantae; Streptophyta; Magnoliopsida; Malpighiales; Euphorbiaceae.